This 509-nucleotide ribosomal RNA is filed under the name uncultured bacterium. RNAcentral's name for it is "bacterial SSU rRNA". It matches the Rfam family "Bacterial small subunit ribosomal RNA", at positions 28 to 526 of the family's 1533-position model. The record is from RNAcentral.
GACGAACGCUGGCGGCGUGCCUAAUACAUGCAAGUCGAGCGGACUACACCUUCGGGUGUGGUUAGCGGCGGACGGGUGAGUAACACGUAGGCAACCUGCCUUUAAGAUCGGGAUAACUAUCGGAAACGAUAGCUAAGACCGGAUAACUGGUUUUCUCGCAUGAGAGAAUUAUGAAACACGGAGCAAUCUGUGGCUUAAAGAUGGGCCUGCGGCGCAUUAGCUAGUUGGUGAGGUAACGGCUCACCAAGGCGACGAUGCGUAGCCGACCUGAGAGGGUGAACGGCCACACUGGGACUGAGACACGGCCCAGACUCCUACGGGAGGCAGCAGUAGGGAAUCUUCCGCAAUGGACGCAAGUCUGACGGAGCAACGCCGCGUGAGUGAUGAAGGUUUUCGGAUCGUAAAGCUCUGUUGCCCUAGACGAACAGCAUGAGGAGUAACUGCCUUGUGUGUGACGGUAUAGGAGAAGAAAGCCCCGGCUAACUACGUGCCAGCCGCCGCCGUAACAC